UACGUAGGGGGCAAGCGUUGUCCGGAUUUAUUGGGCGUAAAGAGCGUGUAGGCGGCUAGGUAGGUCCGUUGUGAAAACUCGAGGCUCAACCUCGAGACGCCGGUGGAAACCAUCUAGCUAGAGUCCGGAAGAGGAGAGUGGAAUUCCUGGUGUAGCGGUGAAAUGCGCAGAUAUCAGGAAGAACACCCGUGGCGAAGGCGGCUCUCUGGUACGUGACUGACGCUGAGACGCGAAAGCGUGGGGAGCGAACAGGAUUAGAUACCCUGGUAGUCCACGCUGUAAACGAUGGGUGCUAGGUGUGGGCGGUGUCGACUCCGUCCGUGCCGAAGCUAACGCAUUAAGCACCCCACCUGGGGAGUACGGCCGCAAGGCUAAA
This 376-nucleotide ribosomal RNA is filed under the name uncultured bacterium. RNAcentral's name for it is "bacterial SSU rRNA". It matches the Rfam family "Bacterial small subunit ribosomal RNA", at positions 524 to 898 of the family's 1533-position model. The record is from RNAcentral.